UACGGAGGAUGCGAGCGUUAUCCGGAUUUAUUGGGUUUAAAGGGUGCGUAGGCGGAUCGUUAAGUCAGUGGUCAAAUUGAGGGGCUCAACCCCUUCCCGCCAUUGAAACUGGCGUUCUUGAGUGGGCGAGAAGUAUGCGGAAUGCGUGGUGUAGCGGUGAAAUGCAUAGAUAUCACGCAGAACUCCGAUUGCGAAGGCAGCAUACCGGCGCCCAACUGACGCUGAAGCACGAAAGCGUGGGUAUCGAACAGG
This 252-nucleotide ribosomal RNA is filed under the name uncultured Bacteroidales bacterium. RNAcentral describes it as "partial 16S ribosomal RNA". It matches the Rfam family "Bacterial small subunit ribosomal RNA", at positions 524 to 776 of the family's 1533-position model. Lineage: Bacteria; Pseudomonadati; Bacteroidota; Bacteroidia; Bacteroidales. The record is from RNAcentral.